Molecule: ribosomal RNA, 497 nt
Filed under: uncultured bacterium
Lineage: Bacteria
Description: partial 16S ribosomal RNA
Rfam family: Bacterial small subunit ribosomal RNA
Source: RNAcentral
GAUGAACGCUGGCGGCGUGCCUAAUACAUGCAAGUCGAGCGAACAGACGAUGAGCUUGCUUCUCUGACGUUAGCGGCGGACGGGUGAGUAACACGUGGAUAACCUACCUAUAAGACUGGGAUAACUUCGGGAAACCGGAGCUAAUACCGGAUAAUAUAUUGAACCGCAUGGUUCAAUAGUGAAAGACGGUUUUGCUGUCACUUAUAGAUGGCUCCGCGCGGCAUUAGCUAGUUGGUAAGGUAACGGCUUACCAAGGCAACGAUGCGUAGCCGACCUGAGAGGGGGAUCGGGCACACUGGGAAUGAGACACGGCCCAGACACCUACGGGAGGCAGAAGUAGGGAAUCUUCGGCAAUGGAAGAAAGUCUGACCGAGAAACGACGCGUGAGUGAAGAAGGUGUUCGGAUCGUAAAACUCUGUUGUGAGAGAAGAACAAAGAAGUAAGUAACUGAACGUGCCAUGACGGUAUCUAAACAGAAAGCCACGGCUAACUACGUG